Molecule: transfer RNA, 73 nt
Filed under: Ipomoea nil (Japanese morning glory)
Lineage: Eukaryota; Viridiplantae; Streptophyta; Magnoliopsida; Solanales; Convolvulaceae
Rfam family: tRNA
About the family: Transfer RNA (tRNA) molecules are approximately 80 nucleotides in length. Their secondary structure includes four short double-helical elements and three loops (D, anti-codon, and T loops).
Source: Rfam by way of RNAcentral
GACUCCAUGGCCCAAUGGAUAAGGUGUUGGUCUACGAAACUAAAGAUUCUUGGUUAGAUCCCUAGUGGAGUCG